CUGGAAACGGUGGCUAAUACCGGAUAAGCCUUUGGGUAAAAGAUUUAUUGCCCCAAGAGGAGCUCGCGUCUGAUUAGCUAGUUGGUGAGGUAAAAGCUCACCAAGGCAGCGAUCAGUAGCUGGUCUGAGAGGACGAUCAGCCACACUGGGACUGAGACACGGGCCCAGACUCCUACGGGAGGCAGCAGUGGGGAAUUUUCCGCAAUGGGCGAAAGCUUGACGGAGCAAGACCGCGUGAGGGAGGAAGGCUCUUGGGUUGUAAACCUCUUUUCUCAGGGAAGAAGCUCUGACGGUACCUGAGGAAUCAGCCUCGGCUAACCCCGUGCCAGCAGCCGCGGUAAUACGGAGGAGGCAAGCGUUAUCCGGAAUUAUUGGGCGUAAAGCGUCCGCAGGUGGCGAUUCAAGUCUGCUGUCAAAGCACGGGGCUUAACUCCAGUUAGGCAGUGGAAACUGAAUAGCUAGAGUGCCGUAGGGGUAGAGGGAAUUCCCGGUGUAGCGGUGAAAUGCGUAGAGAUCGGGAAGAACAUCGGUGGCGAAAGCGCUCUACUGGACGGCAACUGACACUCAGGGACGAAAGCUAGGGGAGCGAAUGGGAUUAGAUACCCCAGUAGUCCUAGCUGUAACCGAUGGAUACUAAGUGUACCUUGUAUCGACCCGAGCUGUGCCGAAGACUACGCGUUAAGUAUCCCGCCUGGGGAGUACGCCACGCAAGUGUGAAAGUCGACGGAAUUGACGGGGGCCCGCACAAGCGGCUGGAGUAUGUGGUUUAAUUCGAUGCAACGCGAAGAACCUUACCAGGGCUUGACAUGUCCGGAAUCCCGGUGAAAUCUGGGAGUGCCUUCGGGAGCCGGAACACAGGUGGUGCAUGGCUGUCGUCAGCUCGUGUCGUGAGAUGUUGGGUUAAGUCCCGCAACGAGCGCAACCCUCGUCUUUAGUUGCCAGCAUUAAGUUGGGCACUUUAGAGAGACUGCCGGUGACAAACCGGAGGAAGGUGGGGAUGACGUCAAGUCAGCAUGCCCCUUACGCUCUGGGCGACACACGUACUACAAUGGUCGGGACAGAGGGCAGCGAACCUGCGAAGGCAAGCUAAUCCCAGCAAACUCGGCCUCAGUUCAGAUCGCAGGCUGCAACUCGCCUGCGUGAAGGAGGAAUCGCUAGUAAUCGCCGGUCAGA
RNAcentral lists this ribosomal RNA (1173 nucleotides) under uncultured organism. RNAcentral's name for it is "bacterial SSU rRNA". It matches the Rfam family "Bacterial small subunit ribosomal RNA", at positions 150 to 1353 of the family's 1533-position model. The record is from RNAcentral.